AUGUUUAGGAGCAGGAUCUUCCCAAGAACGACCUGUGGUGGUACGGAAGGCACGGACUCCGCAAGCAUCCCGCACCCACUGGGAAAGAAACUCCUCAACCAUCACAAGACAAAGAAGUAUGAUGCUCUAUGUCUGACUCUAUUGGUCAUAGUUCCUUGCUGUUGCGGCCGGUGCUUGUUUGGGUGCGUGUGA
This 192-nucleotide ribosomal RNA is filed under the name Triticum aestivum (bread wheat). RNAcentral's name for it is "partial small subunit ribosomal RNA". Lineage: Eukaryota; Viridiplantae; Streptophyta; Magnoliopsida; Poales; Poaceae. The record is from RNAcentral.